GUCUACAGCUAUGCUACCCUGAACAAGUCCAAUCCCUUCUGAUCUCGGUAGCUAAACAGGGUCGAACCUGGUUAGUACUUGGAUGGGAGACCACCUAGGAAGACCAGGUGCUAUAGGUG
Molecule: ribosomal RNA, 119 nt
Filed under: Pteropus alecto (black flying fox)
Lineage: Eukaryota; Metazoa; Chordata; Mammalia; Chiroptera; Pteropodidae
Source: RNAcentral